This 399-nucleotide ribosomal RNA is filed under the name uncultured bacterium. RNAcentral describes it as "bacterial SSU rRNA". It matches the Rfam family "Bacterial small subunit ribosomal RNA", at positions 29 to 409 of the family's 1533-position model. The record is from RNAcentral.
AACGAACGCUGGCGGCGUGGAUAAGACAUGCAAGUCGUGCGGAAACUGCUUGGUAGCAAUAUCGAGCAGUUUCAGCGGCGAAAGGGUGCGUAACGCGUGGGCAAUCUUCCUAAAAGCUUGGAAUAACACCGAGAAAUCGGAGCUAAUAUCGAAUGUGACUACUGGCGGAUUCGCCUUGCAGUUAAAGCCGGGGGACCGAAAAGGCCUGGCACUUUUAGAUGAGCCCGCGGCCUAUCAGCUAGUUGCGGGGUAAUAGCCCACCAAGGCUAAGACGGGUAGCUGGUCUGAGAGGACGACCAGCCACACUGGAACUGAGACACGGUCCAGACACCUACGGGUGGCAGCAGUCGAGAAUUUUCACAAUGGGGAACCCUGAUGGAGCGACGCCGCGUGGGGGAU